Molecule: ribosomal RNA, 1718 nt
Filed under: Xenorhabdus griffiniae
Lineage: Bacteria; Pseudomonadati; Pseudomonadota; Gammaproteobacteria; Enterobacterales; Morganellaceae
Description: partial 23S ribosomal RNA
Rfam family: Bacterial large subunit ribosomal RNA
Source: RNAcentral
GGUUAAGCGACUAAGCGUACACGGUGGAUGCCUAGGCAGUCAGAGGCGAUGAAGGACGUGCUAAUCUGCGAAAAGCGCCGGUGAGCUGAUAUGAAGCGCUAUCAGCCGGCGAUGUCCGAAUGGGGAAACCCGGUGCAAUCCGUUGCACCAUCAUUAACUGAAUCCAUAGGUUAAUGAGGCGAACCGGGGGAACUGAAACAUCUCAGUACCCCGAGGAAAAGAAAUCAACCGAGAUUCCCCCAGUAGCGGCGAGCGAACGGGGAGGAGCCCAGAACCAGCAUCAGUGUGUGUCUCAGUGGAAGCGCCUGGAAAGGCGCACAGUAAAGGGUGAUAGUCCCGUACACGAAGAGACACAGGCUGUGAGUUCGAUGAGUAGGGCGGGACACGUGUUAUCCUGUCUGAAUAUGGGGGGACCAUCCUCCAAGGCUAAAUACUCCUGACUGACCGAUAGUGAACCAGUACCGUGAGGGAAAGGCGAAAAGAACCCCGGCGAGGGGAGUGAAAAAGAACCUGAAACCGUGUACGUACAAGCAGUGGGAGCCCUGAUUUAUCAGGGUGACUGCGUACCUUUUGUAUAAUGGGUCAGCGACUUAUAUUCUGUAGCAAGGUUAACCGCAUAGGGGAGCCGCAGGGAAACCGAGUCUUAACGGGGCGUUAAGUUGCAGGGUAUAGACCCGAAACCCGGUGAUCUAGCCAUGGGCAGGUUGAAGGUUGGGUAACACUAACUGGAGGACCGAACCGACUAAUGUUGAAAAAUUAGCGGAUGACUUGUGGCUGGGGGUGAAAGGCCAAUCAAACCGGGAGAUAGCUGGUUCUCCCCGAAAGCUAUUUAGGUAGCGCCUCGUGAAGUCAUCUUCGGGGGUAGAGCACUGUUUCGGCUAGGGGGUCAUCCCGACUUACCAACCCGAUGCAAACUGCGAAUACCGAAGAAUGUUAUCACGGGAGACACACGGCGGGUGCUAACGUCCGUCGUGAAGAGGGAAACAACCCAGACCGCCAGCUAAGGUCCCCAAGUCAUGGUUAAGUGGGAAACGAAGUGGGAAGGCUCAGACAGCCAGGAUGUUGGCUUAGAAGCAGCCAUCAUUUAAAGAAAGCGUAAUAGCUCACUGGUCGAGUCGGCCUGCGCGGAAGAUGUAACGGGGCUAAACCAUGCACCGAAGCUGCGGCAGCGACACUCAGUGUCGUUGGGUAGGGGAGCGUUCUGUAAGCCGUUGAAGGUCCACUGUGAGGUGGGCUGGAGGUAUCAGAAGUGCGAAUGCUGACAUAAGUAACGAUAAAGCGGGUGAAAAACCCGCUCGCCGGAAGACCAAGGGUUCCUGUCCAACGUUAAUCGGGGCAGGGUGAGUCGACCCCUAAGGCGAGGCUGAAAAGCGUAGUCGAUGGGAAACAGGUUAAUAUUCCUGUACGGGCCCGAAUUGCGAUGGGGGGACGGAGAAGGCUAGGCAAGCCGGGCGACGGUCGUCCCGGUUUAAGUGUGUAGGUGGGCUGACCAGGCAAAUCCGGUUAGCCCUAACACUGAGGCACGAUGACGAGGCACUACGGUGCUGAAGUUGCUGAUGCCCCGCUUCCAGGAAAAGCCCCUAAGCUUCAGAUUCGGGUCCAUCGUACCCCAAACCGACACAGGUGGUCAGGUAGAGAAUACUCAGGCGCUUGAGAGAACUCGGGUGAAGGAACUAGGCAAAAUGGUGCCGUAACUUCGGGAGAAGGCACGCUGGCGU